UACAAUGAAGAGUUUGAUCCUGGCUCAGGAUGAACGCUAGCGGCAGGCUUAACACAUGCAAGUCGAGGGGUAACAGGAGUGCUUGCACUCGCUGACGACCGGCGCACGGGUGCGUAACGCGUAUAGAACCUACCUUUUACUGAGGGAUAGCCUUUAGAAAUGAAGAUUAAUACCUCAUGGUAUUGUAAACUGGCAUCGGUUUAUAAUUAAAGAUUUAUUGGUAAAAGAUGGCUAUGCGUCUUAUUAGCUAGAUGGUAAGGUAACGGCUUACCAUGGCAACGAUAAGUAGGGGCCCUGAGAGGGGGAUCCCCCACACUGGUACUGAGACACGGACCAGACUCCUACGGGAGGCAGCAGUGAGGAAUAUUGGACAAUGGAGGGGACUCUGAUCCAGCCAUGCCGCGUGCAGGAAGACGGCCCUAUGGGUUGUAAACUGCUUUUCUGCAAGAAGAAACCUUAGUACGUGUACUAAGCUGACGGUACUGCAGGAAUAAGCACCGGCUAACUCCGUGCCAGCAGCCGCGGUAAUACGGAGGGUGCAAGCGUUAUCCGGAAUCAUUGGGUUUAAAGGGUCCGUAGGCGGACUAAUAAGUCAGAGGUGAAAUC
This 606-nucleotide ribosomal RNA is filed under the name Aliivibrio sp. RNAcentral's name for it is "bacterial SSU rRNA". It matches the Rfam family "Bacterial small subunit ribosomal RNA", at positions 1 to 601 of the family's 1533-position model. The record is from RNAcentral. Lineage: Bacteria; Pseudomonadati; Pseudomonadota; Gammaproteobacteria; Vibrionales; Vibrionaceae.